RNAcentral lists this transfer RNA (86 nucleotides) under Dictyoglomus thermophilum H-6-12. RNAcentral describes it as "tRNA-Leu". It matches the Rfam family "tRNA". From Rfam's summary of the family: Transfer RNA (tRNA) molecules are approximately 80 nucleotides in length. Their secondary structure includes four short double-helical elements and three loops (D, anti-codon, and T loops). Lineage: Bacteria; Pseudomonadati; Dictyoglomota; Dictyoglomia; Dictyoglomales; Dictyoglomaceae. The record is from RNAcentral.
UGCGAGGGUGGCGGAAUGGCAGACGCGCUAGACUUAGGAUCUAGUGGGAUUUCCCGUGUGGGUUCAAAUCCCACCCCUCGCACCAA